This 101-nucleotide Y RNA is filed under the name Colobus angolensis palliatus. Its description in RNAcentral is "Y RNA (ENSCANG00000001105.1)". It matches the Rfam family "Y RNA". From Rfam's summary of the family: Y RNAs are components of the Ro ribonucleoprotein particle (Ro RNP), in association with Ro60 and La proteins. The Y RNAs and Ro60 and La proteins are well conserved, but the function of the Ro RNP is not known. Lineage: Eukaryota; Metazoa; Chordata; Mammalia; Primates; Cercopithecidae. The record is from Rfam by way of RNAcentral.
GGCUGCUCCAAGUGCAGUAGUGUUUACAACUAAUUGAUACAACAGGUUACAAAUUUCUUUGUUGCUUCUUCAUUCCCACUGCUUCACUUGGCUAGCCUUAA